CUGGUCUGGUUUGAGGGGGAUCAGUAUGCUGUCGGACUCACAUCUAUCCGUAAGUUACAGCAGAUACUCUUAAAAAUGCAUAGUGCUGCAAAAAUCGACCAUGAAAAUAGUUAGCUACCAAAUACAUUGCUAAUUAGUUGGAAAGUGGCGACGUGCACUGAGCAGUAUGCCGUUAGUGAAAAGUGUUAGCGAGGCAGAGCGCAUAACUGGAAAAAAGAAGAGACGCUGAAACAGGAAAACAUGACCAAACAAGUUGUCUAGCAUACCAGAUCAUUUUAUAAACACCUAAAAGAGGAUUAUAAGUGAACAAUUUAAGGUGGAGCGUUUGCUUCGCUGCAUCAGGUGCGUUCGCAGUGCUUGUGCUGUUUGAUUCGGGUGACACGGCGUGAAUGUUGUUUCUUCUUUUCGCAUUACUCUACGGUAUGAGUAACACUGAGCCUUAUCUUCACGAAUUUGCGGAUGUUGACAGAAGUGAAGCAUUUUGACCGAUUUCAAGUCUUCACCUCAAGCACAGGAGCCCUACACCAAACGAAUGCUGGAGAGGUUAUCCAGCAUGUUCCAGUGCCAAAUGAACAGGGAGGCCUGCACUCUCUACUUCAAAGCAAAGCAGCAGUGUUAAGUUACCUGAGGAACACAGGAUCAUUUCAAGUCCAGGAGACUGCUUGUCAAAGUUUGUGUCAGUCACUUGGUGGAGAAGGGUGAAUUGUAAGUAUAUAAAUUCAAAAACAUAUUCGACCACUCUGAAUUUUACUCAGUGGUGUUUGCCCUGUCAGAUAAGUGUUUUAAUAUUGUACAUGCUCUGUUUUCAGUUAACUUUAUCCAUCAAGUGCUGAAAAGCUUGUUUUUGUCACUACUUUCACAUCUUUGCCGGGUCGGAUUAAAGGAAAAGGAGAUGGAUUUGUAAGUAAUAUGUAAUUAAUGUCAAAAACAGCCAAAUGUGUUUUUUUUUGUUUUGCACACUGGGUAGGAACAUUAAUAUCGCAAGCUAUUUAUUCUACUUUUCGAAACCAUGCUUAAGGAAGAUUUAAAAGAACAUUACCUCCUCACACUUAGUCCAGUUAAAGAACAUCCUGUAAUUCCUAUCUGUUCUCUUACCCGAAUUUUGCUCAGCUUUCGCUGAAUCUUCUGUUGGACUUUAUCAGCCCAGUAUUUCUCAUGGAGGAAGUCCCAAAAGAUCCGACCAAUUAGUGCAUUCAGCCAGUCAGGUUUUGUUUCAUCCUCAUGACAACAAAAGGUCUGUUCCAAAAGGGGUGAUGGAAGAAAAACUUUGGAGUAAUGAAGAUACAUUGUCAUUUUCUGCAAUGGGGGGGUAAGCUGUGUCACUUAAAUUGUCCUCUAAACAAGGAGAAAUGUAAACAUUUUGGUUGUUGCAUUCCUUGACUGUUGUCAGUUG
This 1393-nucleotide long non-coding RNA is filed under the name Sinocyclocheilus grahami. Its description in RNAcentral is "lncRNA (ENSSGRG00000053988.1)". Lineage: Eukaryota; Metazoa; Chordata; Actinopteri; Cypriniformes; Cyprinidae. The record is from RNAcentral.